GAUCCUGGCUCAGGACGAACGCUGGCGGCGUGCUUAACACAUGCAAGUCGAACGGUAAGGCUCCAGCUUGCUGGGGUACACGAGUGGCGAACGGGUGAGUAACACGUGGGUGACCUGCCCUGCACUUCGGGAUAAGCCUGGGAAACUGGGUCUAAUACCGGAUAGGACCAUGGUGUGGAUACUGUGGUGGAAAGUUUUUUCGGUGUGGGAUGGGCCCGCGGCCUAUCAGCUUGUUGGUGGGGUAAUGGCCUACCAAGG
RNAcentral lists this ribosomal RNA (258 nucleotides) under uncultured bacterium. Its description in RNAcentral is "partial 16S ribosomal RNA". It matches the Rfam family "Bacterial small subunit ribosomal RNA", at positions 15 to 273 of the family's 1533-position model. The record is from RNAcentral.